Molecule: ribosomal RNA, 397 nt
Filed under: uncultured bacterium
Lineage: Bacteria
Description: partial 16S ribosomal RNA
Rfam family: Bacterial small subunit ribosomal RNA
Source: RNAcentral
AUACGUAGGGGGCGAGCGUUGUCCGGGAUGAUUGGGCGUAAAGGGCGCGUAGGCGGCCCGGUAAGUCUGGAGUGAAAGUCCUGUUUUUAAGAUGGGACUUGCUUUGGAUACUGUCGGGCUUGAGUGCAGGAGAGGUAAGUGGAAUUCCCAGUGUAGCGGUGAAAUGCGUAGAGAUUGGGAGGAACACCAGUGGCGAAGGCGACUUACUGGACUGUAACUGACGCUGAGGCGCGAAAGUGUGGGGAGCAAACAGGAUUAGAUACCCUGGUAGUCCACACUGUAAACGAUGAAUGCUAGGUGUAGGGGGUAUCGACCCCUUCCGUGCCGCAGUUAACACAAUAAGUAAUCCACCUGGGGAGUACGGCCGCUAGGUUGAAACUCAAAUGAAUUGACGGGG